Molecule: ribosomal RNA, 427 nt
Filed under: uncultured bacterium
Lineage: Bacteria
Description: partial 16S ribosomal RNA
Rfam family: Bacterial small subunit ribosomal RNA
Source: RNAcentral
UGGGGAAUAUUGGACAAUGGGCGAAAGCCUGAUCCAGCCAUGCCGCGUGUGUGAAGAAGGUCUUCGGAUUGUAAAGCACUUUAAGUUGGGAGGAAGGGCAUUAACCUAAUACGUUAGUGUUUUGACGUUACCGACAGAAUAAGCACCGGCUAACUCUGUGCCAGCAGCCGCGGUAAUACAGAGGGUGCAAGCGUUAAUCGGAAUUACUGGGCGUAAAGCGCGCGUAGGUGGUUUUUUAAGUUGGAUGUGAAAUCCCCGGGCUCAACCUGGGAACUGCAUUCAAAACUGACUGACUAGAGUAUGGUAGAGGGUGGUGGAAUUUCCUGUGUAGCGGUGAAAUGCGUAGAUAUAGGAAGGAACACCAGUGGCGAAGGCGACCACCUGGACUAAUACUGACACUGAGGUGCGAAAGCGUGGGGAGCAAACA